GGUUGGUAGUAAAUUUAAUGCAUUAUUCUUUCUAAUUUUCUAUUUCCAAUUUAACAUCCUGGUUAGUAUUCACACAGGAUAUCCAAUAGAAAUAGAAAUGAUUGCAAAGCUAGAAAAUAAUAAAACAUAUUUAAGUUUUCUGGUAUCUGUAUAUUCUUUCAUAAUAUUGGGAUAACAAAAUUUCCCUCUAUGACGUGUUGGUGUUACAUAAAUGAAAAAAAUGAUUUUUUGGAUUUUUUUUCUAUCUCUUAUGUGCUACAACUUCUCUCCUGAUACACAAUAGAGCAAUUAUCUGACUGCGAGACAUAACCGAAUUUUGACUUUUGUUGAUAUUUCUAUUUACAUUCUUUUAUCUAUUACUCUAAAUUUAGUCAAUUGUCUAUAUAUACACAUAUAUAAACGUCUAUAUUUUAUAUAUACACAUAUAUAAACCUCUAUAUUUUAUAUAUACACAUAUAUAAACCUCUAUAUUUUAUAUAUACACAUAUAUAAACCUCUAUAUUUUAUAUAUACACAUAAAUAAACCUCUAUAUUUUAUAUAUACACGUAUAUAAACCUCUAUAUUUUAUAUAUACACGUAUAUAAACCUCUAUAUUUUAUAUAUACACGUAUAUAAAACUCUAUAUUUUAUAUAUACAUAUAUAAAACUCUAUAUUUUAUAUAUACAUAUAUAAACUCUAUAUUUUAUAUAUAUACAUAUAUAAACUCUAUAUUUUAUAUAUAUACACAUAUAAACUCUAUAUUUUAUAUAUAUACACAUAUAAACUCUAUAUUUUAUAUAUAUACACAUAUAAACUCUAUAUUUUAUAUAUAUACACAUAUAAACUCUAUAUUUUAUAUAUAUACACAUAUAAACUCUAUAUUUUAUAUAUAUACACAUAUAAACUCUAUAUUUUAUAUAUAUACACAUAUAAACUCUAUAUUUUAUAUAUAUACAUAUAUAUAUAACCGUGUUUAUAUAUAUAUAGUGCAUCUAAGCUUUUCAUACAGUUUUAGAGGGGUAUUUUAAAAUAUUAAAUGAUUUUUAAUUUGAAUUUGAAGACUAUAAAUUGUCUUUCACACAUUUUCUUUUACAUUUCCUUCUUGUUGAGCUAAGCUGUUAGAUAUUGGUUUUUCUCAUAUAAAUUUUAAUUACAAUAAUAAUUACAUUUUUCAAAAACUGACUGGUUUUACAAUAUAAUAUUCCCAAGUAGUUAUACAUUCAUUCUUACAUAUUUAACUAUUUUUUUCUGACUAAGUUACAUAUUUAACUACUUUUUUCUGACUAAGAAUAUUACUUUUUUUCUGCUUAAAAAUUUUUUUUAUUAAGAUUAUAUAAUCUAAAAAAGACUUGAAAGUUCCAAUGCAGGAGCAGAUACAGGAAUCAUUCAAUAAAAUUGGGAUUGACAACAGGUAUAAGUUUAAAAGAGGUGUACUUGAAUUCAGAUCUUAAGCCAGGACCCGAAAUUAAAAUUAAACUGUAUUUGUUGAGCAAUUCUAAGACACAUAAACCAUAGGAAUUAGGAUAAAACCAUUCAGAAAGACUACUAGUUAAUUCAAUUGAUUUUCUGUUAAUAGAAAAUGCUAAUUAAUAAGAAUUUAUUUGUAAGAUCAGGCUUGAAAGUGAAUAUGUACUUACCCAAAAUUUCACAUUCCGUCCUACAUUAUCAUAUGUGUUUGCUUUUCUCUUUUCAACAAAGCUCCUGUUCACAGAGAGCUCAUGUCAUUUCUUUUGUUGAGUCCUGUCACCUUUGCCAAUAGUUUAUCACAGGGAUUUGAUAAAACAAUUUUAAAAUAACUCAGCUGGGUGUGGUGGCUCAUGCCUGUAAUCUCAGCACUUUGGGAGGCCAAGGUGGGUGGAUCGCUGGAGCCCAGGAGUUCAACAGCCUGGGCUGUAGCAGGACGAGCAGAGGACAAAACCUCACAGACACCGAGGAAGUGAAGGAAGUGGCUUUAAUCAACUGGAAGCAACAGCAGACUAAUGUCUCAAAAUCUGAGCUUCUCGAGUGCACAAUUUCUCUCCCUUUUAAGGGCUCACAAUGCUGAAGAUUUUACAUGAAAGGGCAGUGCUUGAUUGAGCAAUCUAGGGGGUAUGUGACAGGGGCUGCAUGCACUGGUAGUCAGAGUGAAACAGAACAGAACGGGAAGUUUCCCAAUGUCCUUCCAUACAAUGUCUGGAAUCUAUGGAUAACAUCAGUUGCUAGGUCAUGGGUUGAAUUUUAACUACCAGGUUAGGUCUGGCAGGCCCAGGUCUGGUUUUGGGUCUGGUUUUGGGUCUGGUGCCUGGUGCUGGGCUGCCUGCCUUUGGUUUUGCUUCCUUGUUUCUUCUUAAAACAGGUACUGAGCAUAAAACAACAUGGGGGUGUCUCUUUCUCUCUUCUCUCAUUUCCCCCCUUUGAGACCCUCACUUAUUUUAUUAGUGGGAGUUCUCACUUUCAUUUUCACUACUUAUGUCUUCCUGUGCAAUAGAUUGAUAGUGAUUCAUAUAAUAUACUUGUGCUGAAGCAUUCUGGUGAACUAGGGUAGCAAUGAAGCUUUUUAUCAUUUGAAGAAGUACAGGUAGCAAACAAGGGAGUAGUAAGCAGGUUCCUAUUACUAUUAUAACUCCUAUUAUAAGAGUUUCAAAUCCUCCUAUUGCUGGGAACCAAGUUCCAAACAUGGCCCCAGGAUCAAAUCCCUGCCACACUUGCACAGGUACAUGUGCCAGUUUUGUUAUAUCUUUAACUAUGUCUUCAGCUAAUUGCCCCUGAUAAUCUAUGUGUAGACAGCAAUUAGUAAGGUUAAAUUUUCCACAAACCCCUCCUUCAGCUGCUAGCAAGUAGUUGAGAGCUAGUCUAUUUUGGUAGAUAGCAUUUCUCAUCUGAGUCUCUUGCCGGACAAGAACAGUCAAGGCUGGACCGGUUUUAUUAGUAAUAAUUUCUGAAACAGCUUGUAACCAUAUGAUUUGGUUGAGCAUGUAGAUGGGGAUCUGAUAUACCUAUGAGCCAUCUUGUGCCCAAGUGGUGGGCCCCUAGUAUUGUAUAUUUCUUUCAGGGGGCCAUUCAUCAUCUUUCCUGUUACCUAUGGCUAGGCUUCGCUUUUCGCAGGAAGCAUAGACAGGGAAUCCUAGGAGUUUGCCUGUUUUUAUGGGCAGUAGGAAGAAAGAUGGUUUAAUACUGCCAAUUACACAACUACCUGUCCACUGAUCAGGUAGCUUAGCAUAGGCUCUAAGUCCACAUAUCCAGUAUAACACAGUAGGGGCUGUCCAGUCCCGGUGCAAUUCUGGAUGGGCCCAAAUGGCCUGUAAUCUUGGAUAUUUACUGAAUGGAUUUUUUUUUCUGUGUGGUUUGAACUCCACCAUGUAACUGUUUUUAUGGUACCAUUAUACAGUUUCUGUCCAAGACAACUAAGCAAUCCUACAGGAUGAGUGAAUUAUUUUCCUUCUCUAGCUAUGCAAUAUUGCCCAGUAACUGAGACUUUUAGAACCCAGAAAUUGUCAGGGUGGUUCUUUUGGGCUGGGAAUUCAUCAGGAACUGGGUCCGUAGGGACUAAUUCUCAGUCUUCCCAUGGCCAUUGAUCUUCUGUUACAGUUCCUCCACAGACAUAACAUGAAGUGACUUUUAAAGACUGUGCUACAUGCUCGGCUAAUUGCAAAAACAAAUUUCUAGUUUUUCCUGGAAUCUCAGGUACUGGCACAUUUAGUUCAUCAUAGAAAGUCUGAAAUACUGGCUCUGGAGAGCAUUUUUGAACCUCCCCUUUUAUUAAGAUAUUUACUCUAGGAUCUAGUCCUUUUCCAUCAAUGCCUAGAGAUACGUGCUCUCCUUUUUCCCACUUUGGGUCUGAGGGAUUUAUAAUUAUUAAUUCUAAAGGGUAGCAGCUUCCAUUUGUGCAGGAGGGGCUGCUUUUUCCUUUUUGGAGCCAAACAAUAUCUUUUUAAUCUUUUUUCCAAGUAGCCCAGAUGAUACAAGACCAGUACUGACACACAUUUGUACAUGAAUAUGAUUCAUGGCAGACAUACUUAUUUCCUGCUGUGUAACUCUUUUCCCAAUCUCUAGAACAGCAUCCUAGUCCUUGCUGAUUACUAUUAAUAGUGGCCCAAGUGUCAAAUUUUAGAGUUUCAUGUUUGGGGACCCCUCUUUCUUCUGUUCUAGCUAUUACUUUACUUGUGUCACCUAGAAAAGGACCAGUGCUUAGUCUUAUUUCAAAAACCGUGAUCAUGGGAGGUUCAGAGGGGUCAUAGCACACAUCUGGCUGAUCACUUCUUGGAUUACAUACUUUGUACUGAGUGUUAUUAUAUAAACAGGUUCCUUUUCGAGUUCCUGGGCACUCAUAAAAACUAUAGAACAAAAAGAUUGUCUUAACUUGUUGUCCUACCUCAGUGAUCUGAUGCAUGCACUGAAAGCAGUCCUCUGUGUGGGAAGAAGCAGUGGAAGCUUUUACCACACAAGUCCGUGUCAUGAGGAAAAUAAGUCCCACGACGAUUUUCCUCAUGCUUCCACCAUGUGUAGAUCAGUCAGCUUCUGGGUGUGACUGAAGCAGGGCUUGUGGUCCUCCUCAUGGUCACUUUACGGGGAUUGUCCAGGCUUGGUUUGGCCUCCCAGGUUUCAGUGGCUGCAGGCUUUAAGCAGCUGUGGUGAAUCCAGGCCGGGAUUCCUUCCACCUUUACAGCUGUGGGAGUGGUCAGGAUAAUGGUCUGGGGUCCUUUCCACUGUGCCCGCAAAGGGGCUACGUUCCAGUCCUGGAUCCACAUACGGUCACCUGGAGAAAAAGGGUGAACUGGGGAGAAUAAGCUGACAGGGUACCUCUCAUUUACCCAAGUUGCGAUUGUCUCAGUAAUUUUCCCCAAGGCCUGUAGCUGUCACUGCAAUUCAAUUUCACCCAACUCUUGGGGAGUACCCGGAAGUCCUCGCAGUAUAGGAGGAGGCCUAUGAUAUAAUAUUUCAUAAGGGGAGUAUCCUGUUUUCUUAAAGGGGUACACCUAAUUUUAAACAAUACCAUAGGAAGGGCCUGUAUCCAUUUUAAUCCUGUCUCUUGACAUACUUUCCCUAAACUAUUUUUGAUAGUCCGAUUCAUUCGCUCCACCUUUCCGGAACUCUGAGGUCGGUAGGCAGCAUGUAACUUCCAUGUGAUUCCCAGUACCUUUGCUGUCUUCUGUACUAAGUCAGCCACAAAUGCCGGCUCAUUAUCUGAGCCGAUCCAUAGAGGCAGUCCAAACCUAGGGAUGAGAUCUCUAAGAAGCACACGGGUUACUUCACCAGCUUUUGCAGUUUGUGUCGGAUAAGCCUCUACCCACCCAGAUAUUCCCUACUUUAUGUUGGAAGUUCUGACAAAGAAGACAAA
RNAcentral lists this long non-coding RNA (5298 nucleotides) under Homo sapiens (human). RNAcentral describes it as "HSALNT0071028". Lineage: Eukaryota; Metazoa; Chordata; Mammalia; Primates; Hominidae. The record is from RNAcentral.